RNAcentral lists this ribosomal RNA (493 nucleotides) under uncultured bacterium. RNAcentral's name for it is "bacterial SSU rRNA". It matches the Rfam family "Bacterial small subunit ribosomal RNA", at positions 28 to 534 of the family's 1533-position model. The record is from RNAcentral.
GACGAACGCUGGCGGCGUGCUUAAAACAUGCAAGUCGAACGGACUUCUCAUGAAGCUUGCGAUUGAGAAGUUAGUGGCGGACGGGUGAGUAACGCGUGGGCAACCUGCCCCUGAGCCCGGGAUAACAGUUCGAAAGGACUGCUAAGACCGGAUAUACUUGCGGUGAAGCAUUUCACUGCAAGGAAAGGGAACGCUCAGGGAUGGGCCCGCGUCCCAUUAGCUAGUUGGUGAGGUAACGGCCCACCAAGGCGACGAUGGGUAGCCGGCCUGAGAGGGUGAACGGCCACACUGGGACUGAGACACGGCCCAGACUCCUACGGGAGGCAGCAGUUGGGAAUCUUCGGCAAUGGGCGCAAGCCUGACCGAGCAACGCCGCGUGAGUGAUGAAGGUUUUCGGAUUGUAAAGCUCUGUCUUCCGGGACGAUAAUGACGGUACCGGAGGAGGAAGCCACGGCUAACUACGUGCCAGCAGCCGCGGUAAAAGUCAACGUCG